CGGGGCGUAGCGCAGCUUGGUAGCGCACCUGCCUUGGGCGCAGGGGGUCGUAGGUUCAAAUCCUGUCGCCCCGACCA
This 77-nucleotide transfer RNA is filed under the name Bacillota bacterium. Its description in RNAcentral is "tRNA-Pro". It matches the Rfam family "tRNA". Rfam says of the family: Transfer RNA (tRNA) molecules are approximately 80 nucleotides in length. Lineage: Bacteria; Bacillati; Bacillota. The record is from RNAcentral.